UGAAUACUGAUCGAGGAAAUUGCAUUGAUCACGUACCACUGCAUAUAUCAUAUGUAUGUACUACUACUUUAUUUACCAGAUCGAUCGAUCAGCUGACUUUCUCUUCUUUCCUUGACUAAUCUAUCAUCUAUCUAUCUAUCCAUCCAUCUUCAUUAAUUAUUACUACAGAUAUACUUGUAAAGAAAAGAAAAGUAGUAGUAAAACCAAGAACACAUACAAAAUUAAAGGCAGGGUAUGCAUGACUCACUCUGCUGAUCAAUCGAUCGAUUGAUCUCAAUUCAAUUCAAGGGUAGAUAUGAUCAGUCUGUGAAAGAAAGCCAACCCCAUCCCAAUUUCCACCCACCAACUCAUCACCAGUUUAAUUGGGUACUUUUUGUUUUAUAUAAACAAACACAUAACAGAGAGAGAGAGAGAGAGAGAGAGAGAGAGAGAGAGAGAGAGAGAGAGAUUAAUAACAUAUACUCAGAGAGCUCAGCUAGCCAUCCUGCCAGCCUUGAAGGAGAAAUAUCCACCCAAUAGCAGAGGUGAUGAUGUGAGGUAAGGACCAAGCAGGAGAAAGUUUGUGCCUGCAACGUACGUAACAACCAUACCAGUAGGCAGUAGCCAGGCCACCAUGGGUAGACCGCCUUGCUGUGAUAAGGUUGGCAUCAAGAAGGGACCGUGGACACCUGAGGAAGACAUCAUAUUGGUAUCAUACAUUCAAGAACAUGGACCAGGAAAUUGGAGAUCAGUGCCUACUAAUACAGGUAAUUAAUUUAACUAGCUACCAUACACACCUAAUAUGCAACUGCUUGUCGCAUACUCCUGCUACGCUACUCCUUCUUCGACAAAGGAAGGAGAUGAUGAAACCUCGAAGUCUAGUUAUAUAUACAUGCCAGUGUCACUACCCUUCAUUCUGCAUCAGCAGCACCACCUAAUACUAAAAAUAUUCAUCUGAAUUGCACUUCAAUGGAUGGAUAUACAACUUCAGAAACUUGCAGAUCCACCAAUUGGUUUUUUAUUUAAUUUUUUUUUUUCUUUUUUUCCAUCCAAACAUGAGGUUUCCAGUCAACAACCAACUUUUAUUAUUUAAGAGUAUAUGCUUGUUUGAAUCUCAAUCACUGAUUGACCAGUAUAUAUAUGAUCUCAUCUCAUGCAUGUUUUGCCCUUCAACUGCUAAC
This 1160-nucleotide long non-coding RNA is filed under the name Aquilegia coerulea. RNAcentral describes it as "long non-coding RNA (ACOE_LNC001159)". Lineage: Eukaryota; Viridiplantae; Streptophyta; Magnoliopsida; Ranunculales; Ranunculaceae. The record is from RNAcentral.